UUGUUGGGUAGGGGAGCGUUCUGUAAGCCUGUGAAGGUGUGCUGUGAGGCAUGCUGGAGGUAUCAGAAGUGCGAAUGCUGACAUAAGUAACGAUAAAGCGGGUGAAAAGCCCGCUCGCCGGAAGACCAAGGGUUCCUGUCCAACGUUAAUCGGGGCAGGGUGAGUCGACCCCUAAGGCGAGGCCGAAAGGCGUAGUCGAUGGGAAACAGGUUAAUAUUCCUGUACUUGGUGUUACUGCGAAGGGGGGACGGAGAAGGCUAUGUUGGCCGGGCGACGGUUGUCCCGGUUUAAGCGUGUAGGCUGGUUUUCCAGGCAAAUCCGGAAAAUCAAGGCUGAGGCGUGAUGACGAGGCACUACGGUGCUGAAGCAACAAAUGCCCUGCUUCCAGGAAAAGCCUCUAAGCAUCAGGUAACAUCAAAUCGUACCCCAAACCGACACAGGUGGUCAGGUAGAGAAUACCAAGGCGCUUGAGAGAACUCGGGUGAAGGAACUAGGCAAAAUGGUGCCGUAACUUCGGGAGAAGGCACGCUGAUAUGUAGGUGAAGCGACUUGCUCGUGGAGCUGAAAUCAGUCGAAGAUACCAGCUGGCUGCAACUGUUUAUUAAAAACACAGCACUGUGCAAACACGAAAGUGGACGUAUACGGUGUGACGCCUGCCCGGUGCCGGAAGGUUAAUUG
Molecule: ribosomal RNA, 678 nt
Filed under: Escherichia coli
Lineage: Bacteria; Pseudomonadati; Pseudomonadota; Gammaproteobacteria; Enterobacterales; Enterobacteriaceae
Description: partial 23S ribosomal RNA
Rfam family: Bacterial large subunit ribosomal RNA
Source: RNAcentral